GACCUAUUGAAUCAGAAGCUCUAGUGAGGGUGUGUCCGCGCAAUGUCUUAACAAGCUUUCCAGGGAAUACGGAUGUGUGCUAAAGUUUGACAACCGCUGCUCUAGACCAGGGCUUCUCAGAAUUUAAAAUUCAUAUGCAUCACCCAGGAGCUUGUUAAGCAGCGCAUUCCGAUUCAGCAGGAAUGGAGUGGGGCCUGAGGGUCUGCGUUUCUCACAAGCUGCCAGGUGUGGCCCAUGCUGCUGUUUCUCAGACCACACUAUGUAACUUUAGAAGGAAGACUGAGCCUAAUGGUGAAGAGCGUAGCCCCACAUUCUUCAGCUGCUCUGUGGACUCGGGCUGAGGAGCUCAUGUGUCCUCCUUGGCUCAGUAGAAGCAGGUCGGGCUGACACUCACGAGACCUUCAAUCCAGUGCCAGCUUGACCCACGGUGCUGGGCCCGGUAUAUUCUCAGUGCAUGGGUUUCUUUCUGUAAGAUGGGGAUAAAAGUCUCUCCCCUACUUCACGAGGAUGAUUUCAAGGACUGAUGAGAUUGUGUGUUAAGAACGCGCCUCAGAGGACGGGCACGGUAUGAAUGCUGGGUAUUGCCGUCGUUGUCCAUUUACGUUUCAGAGUACUUCGCUGAUGUUCCUGGUCACGUCUUCCUCGUCUCGUAAAGCAGGUUGGAUCCAAAGAAUUGAGUUUGGCUCAAAGUCACACAAGGUUGGGUGCCUCAGCUGAGUCUAAACAAAGAACAAUUGAGUUCCUAAUCUAUGCUCAGCCUGUUGGACCACAGUGACCUCUGCUCUCUGUACCUGGAAGCCCAGCCCUGGUGGAGGAAAUAAUGCUCCUGCUUCUCCAGAUGGUGCGGAACCUGUUACACUGCCUCCCCCUCCCCAGCAGCCCGGGUGAAUCUAGCUCUGUUUGUGUCUGGCCCACAUCUCACACCUGCCCGGCACAGCCUGCCGCUUGCUGAGAGAGAAUGUGGGGCAGAAGUGUGAGUCGGGGGAUGCUCAGUUGGGCAAGGGGAGAGCCAGAGGACACAAAUCCACUUUGGGGGUUCAGAAGUGAUAUGUGAGCGUAAACACAAGUGGGAGCCUAACUGAAGUUUCAGCCGAACUGAAAUGUUUCUACUCUGUCCGACUUCAAUUCCUUUGCAUAGGGAUCAUCUGAAACAGAAAUGCCAGGACAGAACAAAAACGGAAAAAUCCCCUCUGAGGCUGGGACCAUGGCAGCGGCCGCGGCCGGACUUGCUCGUCAUUCGCCCGGAUUCCCCUGCCCUGCUUGGGACUGCAGCCCUCUGUCUUCUGCAAACGACUUCUCCCAGGCUGUCUUGCUGCCUGGCUUCCGGCUGGGUUCAGCCCGAGUGAGUCAGUGAGGGUGAAUCCGAGGGCUGGAGGAAGGGAGAAGCCAGGCUGUUCCCCUUGUUCUCCCACUGAGCUGGCCGGGGUCUCUAACAGCGGCCCCCUGCCAGUGUGCUCCUGCUGGGCAGCCACUCUCCACGGUUCCAGCUUCACCAGACUGCUGAGUUCAGGUGCUGAUAACAUUUCCUUCCCAAAUGUGGAAACUUGCUGCUCUCACUUCUGUGGGGGAUUGGCUUUUCAGCUCUUCCACCGUCUCUGUGACCAGCUCCCCACAUUACAUUUCCUCUAUUCGACUCCCUGGCUGCCACUGUCUUCCUAACUGAUAAAUGCACGGAACCUCUGAGGGCGCCUGGUCUGCUUUACAGAUGAGGAACCUGAGACCCAGGGAAGCCACAGGCCCCUCCUAUAGGAAGUGGGUCCAGGUGGGACUGGAAUCCGGCUCCCCCAGCGUCGCUUAGUGAGCCUCCUGGGGCAGGGGGCCUAUGGGGUCCGGACUCAAAGGGGCCACUUUUACUGGUAAGGAGAAAGCGGGAAAUAAAGCUGGAAUUGCCAGUUCAUGCACAGAAAUGGUCCAAAUACUCUAAUUACCCAGAAAGGCCCCUUCCUUUAAAAAAAAUAAAUGAAAGGCUGAAAAGAAAAGAUAAAGAGAGAAACUUGGGUGUCAAGGUGUGAGGGAAAGAGAUGGAUCUUCUUAUUUCUCCUAUUUGCCUCUUUAGACUUUGAAGAGGAUCCCGGGGUCCGGGUACUGGCUUCUUUCGAAGGAAAACAGGGACCCCUCAUCCCUUCUGGGGGAGGACUGGAUGCUUCGGGGUGACACCCAUGGCUUCAUCCAGAGCAUCUUGCAACAAUUCCUUGGGGCAUGUGGAGAAGCCUGAACCUUGUCACAAUUAGGCCUCAGCUCUGGCAACCUGUGUUUACACCAGGAUGCCCCCAGCCUGGGCCAGGUCAGACUCCAGCCCAGCACCUGCUCCACCAGCACCCAAACCAGCCCUCCCAAAGGGCACUCCGUGGUCAGCAGGGCCAGCAGAGCCCUGGAGGGGGCCCUCCCUGACAACCACCCUUUGACUCAUGCAUUAUUCAGAGGCCGCUGGACUGGCGCUGCCUGCUGCCUGCAGGGCUCACGGAGAGGUUCAGCUCCAGCCGCACAGGCAGAGCCAAAGGGAUAUGUGACUUGAGAAACUUUUCUUUUUAAUUGUAGUAAAAUACACGUAAACUUUAGUCUUUACAAUUUUUAAGUUUACGGUUCACUGGCAUUAAGUACAUUCACAUUGCUGUGCCUGUCACCUGUCACCACCGUCCAUCCACAGAACUUUGUCAUCUUCCCAAACUGAAACUGUCCCCAUUAAACACUGACUCCUCAGUCCUCGCUCCUCCAGCCCCUGGGACCCACCAUUCUACUUUCUGUCUUUAUGAAUUUGACUACUCGAGUUACCUCAUAUAAGUGCAACCAAGCAGUAUUUGUCCUUUGUGACUGGCUUAUUUCACUUAGUAUAAUGUCUCCAAGGUUCAUCCACCUGUCAAUUUCCUGCCUUUUUAAGACUGAACACUGGCCCAUUGCAUGUAGAUCCCACAUUUUGGUUAUCCAUUCAUCCAUCAAUGGGUUGCUUCCACCUUUUAGCUAUUGCGAAUAACACUGCUACGGACAUGGAGGUACAGAUACCUUUUUGAGGCCCUGCUUUCACUUCUUUUGGGCAUACACCCAGCAGCAGAAUUGCUGGAUCAUUACUGGAUCAUCAUAGGGUAGUUCAUUUGCAAUUUUUUGAGGAACCGCCCUAUGGAUUCCCAUAGCUGUAUCACUUUACAUUCCCAUCAGCAGUGCACAGGGUUCCCUUUUCUCCACAUCCUUGUCAAUACUUGUUGCUUUCUUUUUUUUUUUUUUUGAUAAUAGCCAUCCUAAUGGGUGUGAAGUGUCUUUUAACUUUUUAAUUUAAUGUUUAAAAAAUGUAUUCCGUAUGUGGAAUAAAAAUUUCAACAUGCAUAAAAGGUGCAUAAUGAAACAUCAAUUUUCCUCUCUCCUCACCCCAGUUUCCCUGUUUCCAGAGGCAACCAUGGUUACCACCCUCAGGAACGCUCCUCAAGACGGUCCAUGCAGAGAUGAGCCUAUGUGCGCAUACAUCUGUUUAAAACAAAUAAGAGCACAGCAUACACAGUAUUUAACAUGUGGCUUUUUAUUAACUAAACGUGCCAUUUUUCACUUUAUAUAACAUUUCCAUAACUGUAUCUAUAGGUGACAAGAGAUUUAGAUCUGUAUAGGAUGCUGAAACUAUAAUGAGAGUCCCCAUCUUUCCAACCUAACACAGAAAAUUUGGCCUUGAGGAAGAUGAUAUCCUCCUGGCUGUUACUGGAGCAGCGCCCU
Molecule: long non-coding RNA, 3696 nt
Organism: Equus caballus (horse)
Lineage: Eukaryota; Metazoa; Chordata; Mammalia; Perissodactyla; Equidae
Source: Ensembl